CACUAUGCUUAGCCCUAAACUAAAAUAGCUUACCACAACAAAGCUAUUCGCCAGAGUACUACUAGCAACAGCCUAAAACUCAAAGGACUUGGCGGUGCUUUACAUCCCUCUAGAGGAGCCUGUUCCAUAAUCGAUAAACCCCGAUAAACCCCACCAUCCCUUGCUAAUUCAGCCUAUAUACCGCCAUCUUCAGCAAACCCUAAACAAGGUACCGAAGUAAGCACAAAUAUCCAACAUAAAAACGUUAGGUCAAGGUGUAGCCCAUGGGAUGGAGAGAAAUGGGCUACAUUUUCUACCCUAAGAACAAGAACUUUAACCCGGACGAAAGUCUCCAUGAAACUGGAGACUAAAGGAGGAUUUAGUAGUAAAUUAAGAAUAGAGAGCUUAAUUGAAUCAGGCCAUGAAGCGCGC
Molecule: ribosomal RNA, 411 nt
Filed under: Equus caballus (horse)
Lineage: Eukaryota; Metazoa; Chordata; Mammalia; Perissodactyla; Equidae
Description: partial small subunit ribosomal RNA
Rfam family: Bacterial small subunit ribosomal RNA
Source: RNAcentral